This 301-nucleotide ribosomal RNA is filed under the name uncultured bacterium. RNAcentral describes it as "partial 16S ribosomal RNA". It matches the Rfam family "Bacterial small subunit ribosomal RNA", at positions 509 to 807 of the family's 1533-position model. The record is from RNAcentral.
CAGUAGCCACGGUAAUACGAAGGGGGCUAGCGUUGUUCGGAAUUACUGGGCGUAAAGCGCACGCAGGCGGCUCGAUAAAUUAGAAGUGAAAGCCUUGGGCUUAACCUGAGAAUUGCUUUUAAGACUGUCGAGCUAGAAUCCAGAAGAGGGUAGUGGAAUUCCGAGUGUAGAGGUGAAAUUCGUAGAUAUUCGGAAGAACACCAGUGGCGAAGGCGACUACCUGGUCUGGCAUUGACGCUCAUGUGCGAAAGCGUGGGGAGCAAACAGGAUUAGAUACCCCCGUAGUCCCUGUCUCUUAUAC